AACGUCGCUUAAUUAGGAGGUUUAAGACACGUCUCUUGAGACAUUUGUCUGUCAAACGGACGUCUCUUUCUCGAAAGCAGUCUCUUUUCACUUCUCCGAUCUUCCUCUUGAACAGAUCAAUCGAAACAUAGAGACUGUACCCUAUUGAACAGAGCAAUCGAAGCAGUCUCUUUCUCUUCCCUUCUCUGAUCUGUCAUCGAACUUUCUGGAUCAAACAAGAAAAUCUCUAUUAAGCGAUGGCGAAGAAGAUUGGAGUGACGAUGGAAGUCGGAAACGAUGGUGUUGUUGUGAUCACCAUUUCGAAUCCUCCUGUUAACUCUCUGGCCAGCCCAAUUAUUUCUGGGUUGAAGGAGAAGUUUCAAGAUGCGAAUCAGAAGAGUGAUUUCAAGGCCAUCGUCUUGACAGUUUUGCGGAUGGAGCUUGAUGUUCAACAGUUCUUACAGAGCCCUGAGUAGCAGCAGUUCGAGUUCCAGCGUUUUCCUACUUCCGCCUCACCAAGAUUCAUUUGACAGGAGCCAACCAUGUCUUUUGAUCUAAUUAGCUUGAAAUGGUAAAGUGUGUUCUUGUGUUUUUCUUCUUCAGUAUAGAAUAUGUGUUUUUCUGCAAAUUGGAUGCAUAACUUUGGUUGGCUCCUGUCAAAUGUUUGGUCUUGUUUUUUUAAGCAACAAAAAACAACAUUUUUUUAAGAACUCCUAAACAAGAAACUACCAUUGGAGGGUAUGAAUCAAAGUGUUUCUUAAACAAGGUUUUUAAUUACAUUUAAUUAGUAAAUUAUUCCUUAAGAGACCCUAUGGAGUUUGUGGGUUAAUCAUGUUCUUG
Molecule: long non-coding RNA, 819 nt
Organism: Brassica oleracea var. oleracea
Lineage: Eukaryota; Viridiplantae; Streptophyta; Magnoliopsida; Brassicales; Brassicaceae
Exons: 3
Source: RefSeq, a predicted model, not a curated record